RNAcentral lists this ribosomal RNA (537 nucleotides) under Ligilactobacillus salivarius. RNAcentral's name for it is "bacterial SSU rRNA". It matches the Rfam family "Bacterial small subunit ribosomal RNA", at positions 1 to 506 of the family's 1533-position model. Lineage: Bacteria; Bacillati; Bacillota; Bacilli; Lactobacillales; Lactobacillaceae. The record is from RNAcentral.
UUAAAAUGAGAGUUUGAUCCUGGCUCAGGACGAACGCUGGCGGCGUGCCUAAUACAUGCAAGUCGAACGAAACUUUCUUACACCGAAUGCUUGCAUUCACCGUAAGAAGUUGAGUGGCGGACGGGUGAGUAACACGUGGGUAACCUGCCUAAAAGAAGGGGAUAACACUUGGAAACAGGUGCUAAUACCGUAUAUCUCUAAGGAUCGCAUGAUCCUUAGACGAAAGAUGGUUCUGCUAUCGCUUUUAGAUGGACCCGCGGCGUAUUAACUAGUUGGUGGGGUAACGGCCUACCAAGGUGAUGAUACGUAGCCGAACUGAGAGGUUGAUCGGCCACAUUGGGACUGAGACACGGCCCAAACUCCUACGGGAGGCAGCAGUAGGGAAUCUUCCACAAUGGACGCAAGUCUGAUGGAGCAACGCCGCGUGAGUGAAGAAGGUCUUCGGAUCGUAAAACUCUGUUGUUAGAGAAGAACACGAGUGAGAGUAACUGUUCAUUCGAUGACGGUAUCUAACCAGCAAGUCACGGCUAACUACGU